This 257-nucleotide ribosomal RNA is filed under the name uncultured bacterium. RNAcentral describes it as "partial 16S ribosomal RNA". It matches the Rfam family "Bacterial small subunit ribosomal RNA", at positions 524 to 776 of the family's 1533-position model. The record is from RNAcentral.
UACGUAGGGGGCUAGCGUUGUCCGGAAUCAUUGGGCGUAAAGCGCGUGUAGGCGGUUCGGUAAGUCUGCUGUGAAAGUCGGGGGGCUCAACCCUCGAAUGCCGGUGGAUACUGUCGGACUAGAGUGCGGAAGAGGCGAGUGGAAUUCCUGGUGUAGCGGUGAAAUGCGCAGAUAUCAGGAGGAACACCGGUGGCGAAGGCGGCGAUCUGGGUCGAUACUGACGCUGGAGGUGCGAAAAGCGUGGGGGAGCAAACAGG